CAAUGGGGACGUGAGUGUCAGAACGGGACCAUGGAGCAGGGGAAGAAGGUUGCCUGGUCUGAUGAAUCUCGUUUUCUUUUAGAUCAGGUGGAUGGCUGGGUGCCUGUGGGAGAGAUGACAUCAAGAUGCACUAUGGGAAGAAGGCAGUCCGGCUGAGGAAUUGUUAUGCUUUUGGCAAUGUUAAACUGGGAAACCUUGGGUCUUUAAU
Pelobates cultripes (western spadefoot toad) is the source of this 208-nucleotide non-coding RNA. The record is from the annotation of a GenBank genome assembly. Lineage: Eukaryota; Metazoa; Chordata; Amphibia; Anura; Pelobatidae.